GGGCAUGGAACUGAUGAAUGAAACUGAUAAGAGUGCAAUGUUUGAAACAUAAUGGCAGUCAAAGAAAUAUGCGCGGCAGACUAAACUAUGGAGCAAAAAUCCGGAGAAAUCAAGGCGCGCGGAGGAAACGCUUAACGCCUCGCUCCGUGAAAUCUUGUCUCUCACACGCGCCUGUAAAAUGUGCCAGCGCUCGCGAGGUCAGCAGUUCUACUACAUCGCCACGUGGUUUUCCCAGCGCGGAAUGACGCAGCGCGCUCCCGUCAGCCAAUCGGCAGCGCGGGUGUGCGCGGACAUGUGAGGGAGGAGAAUAGAGGAGCUGCGCGCACAUGUUCGGUACUGUGCACAGACGCCCAAAGAUAAACUGCGUUCUUUUCGGUUGAUGUCAGAAAUACACUGAGUUGCCAAGUCCAUAUUUUCCGGCGUAAUGAAGUACUGAAGAGCUUCUGGUCCUGACCUUCCUAUGUGGAUACUGGAGGCAAUGCACCAGGCCAUCUCUCCAUCAGGAGAGGGAGCUUCCUGCAGGAUACUGCGGGCCAGGCGGAGGGCAGCACCUGCCAGCUGGGAAGGCAGAUACACCACACAAUGCCCCUCCAACAGAGAGAGCUCCAACAGCAGCCAGAAAAAGGCAAACCACACCCAGAAGCUGCAGGCCAGAGAUGGACACUUUGAUGAGCCUUAGCGCUCGAUUCAUCAGGUGUACUGCCAGAUAUAACGUUUCCUCCGAGAACUGGAACACUUCCUGCGG
Long non-coding RNA from Carassius auratus (goldfish), 745 nucleotides. RefSeq lists it as uncharacterized. NCBI's taxonomy places the organism in Eukaryota, Metazoa, Chordata, Actinopteri, Cypriniformes, Cyprinidae. The record is from RefSeq and is a predicted model, not a curated record. The transcript is spliced from 3 exons.